UACGGAGGGUGCAAGCGUUGUUCGGAAUUACUGGGCGUAAAGGGCGCGUAGGCGGCCGCGUAAGUCUGAUGUGAAAUCCCUGGGCCCAACCCAGGACGUGCAUUGGAAACUGCGUGGCUUGAGUACGGGAGAGGAGAGCGGAAUUCCUGGUGUAGAGGUGAAAUUCGUAGAUACCAGGAGGAACACCGGUGGCGAAGGCGGCUCUCUGGACCGAUACUGACGCUGAGGCGCGAAAGCGUGGGUAGCAAACAGG
This 253-nucleotide ribosomal RNA is filed under the name uncultured bacterium. RNAcentral describes it as "partial 16S ribosomal RNA". It matches the Rfam family "Bacterial small subunit ribosomal RNA", at positions 524 to 776 of the family's 1533-position model. The record is from RNAcentral.